RNAcentral lists this RNase P RNA (400 nucleotides) under Pirellulales bacterium. RNAcentral describes it as "RNase P RNA component class A". It matches the Rfam family "Bacterial RNase P class A". From Rfam's summary of the family: Ribonuclease P (RNase P) is a ubiquitous endoribonuclease, found in archaea, bacteria and eukarya as well as chloroplasts and mitochondria. Its best characterised activity is the generation of mature 5'-ends of tRNAs by cleaving the 5'-leader elements of precursor-tRNAs. Lineage: Bacteria; Pseudomonadati; Planctomycetota; Planctomycetia; Pirellulales. The record is from RNAcentral.
GGAGUGGACCGGGCGAUCGUCGGCGCGGGCCGCAAGGCACGCGCGGGAGGAAAGUCUGGGCUCCACAGGACACGGUGGUGGGUAACUCCCACCGGCCGCGAGGCCAGGGAAAGUGCAACAGAAAGCAAACCGCCUGCGGCGCGCAAGCGACGCGGUAAGGGUGAAACGGUGAGGUAAGAGCUCACCAGCAGGCUGGGCGACCAGCCUGGCUAGGCAAACCCCACCGGGAGCAAGACCAAGCAGGAGGAAGCUGGCGCGCAAGCGCCGGCGCGACGCGGUCCGUGUCGCCACCACCUCCGGGUAGGUUGCUGGAGCCGCCGAGCAAUCGGCGGCCUAGAGAAAUGAUCGCCGCCGGCGCAACACGCCGGCACAGAACCCGGCUUACAGGUCCACUCCGGAU